CAGUUGCCAUGCAGACUAAUAUUUGAUCACUGAGUUGUCAGAAGUGAUAGAAAACUCAUUCUGUAAACAAUGCUAAUCAAAGGUUAGGAGGACAAAACUGUCCCAAAAGUGACAAGAAUAUUUAGACUAUUAAGUCUUUCAGCUCUUCAGUAUCUUAAGCAAAAGCGUAUUUCCUUCAGUUUCCCAUCCUGUUUCUGGAGCCAUGCAAGCCUGGUGGCCGAGGAAUACGUUGUAAGGGAGACAGUGAGGAUCCACUGCCCAUAUACUUCAGUGCUCCCGAGUCCCUGCAGCAUCACCUCUUCUCGGUUUUCUCUGAUGCAUGGGCUACUGCUGCCACAUUUUAUUCUGUUCUCCUCUACGGUGGACAAACAUACUUUGAGCUCAGGCACUUGCCUGUGGCCAGAUUCAUAGGAGAGGUCUGUAGUGGGCACAGAGCACAAAGACCAGACUCAGUUCCUCUGAAACUGUGGGACAUAAUAGCCCCCAAUCUGGAGUACGAUGAGCCAAACCGUACAACUAUGGAGUCGCUGGUAGAGUGCAUGGAAAACUGUGGGAGUACCUUGGGUAUGGAAAACACUGUAACUGGCGAGUCUUUUGGUCAACAUCACUGUCCUUUCCUUUA
RNAcentral lists this long non-coding RNA (622 nucleotides) under Numida meleagris (helmeted guineafowl). RNAcentral's name for it is "lncRNA (ENSNMEG00000002662.1)". The record is from RNAcentral. Lineage: Eukaryota; Metazoa; Chordata; Aves; Galliformes; Numididae.